GCCUUCAUAGUGUAACGGUAGCACACUCGUGGCGUAUUCGAGAUGACCAGGGUUCGAAUCCCAGCGACGGCA
RNAcentral lists this transfer RNA (72 nucleotides) under Stegodyphus mimosarum. It matches the Rfam family "tRNA". From Rfam's summary of the family: Transfer RNA (tRNA) molecules are approximately 80 nucleotides in length. Their secondary structure includes four short double-helical elements and three loops (D, anti-codon, and T loops). Lineage: Eukaryota; Metazoa; Arthropoda; Arachnida; Araneae; Eresidae. The record is from Rfam by way of RNAcentral.